This is a long non-coding RNA of Rhincodon typus (whale shark), 1457 nucleotides long. RefSeq lists it as uncharacterized. The record is from RefSeq and is a predicted model, not a curated record. The transcript is spliced from 3 exons. Lineage: Eukaryota; Metazoa; Chordata; Chondrichthyes; Orectolobiformes; Rhincodontidae.
AGCAGCGUAGCCAGUGCUUUGGGGAGAGGCAGGUUGUGCACUUGUGCUGCAAGGUGCAAGCUCCUGCUGAACUCUCUCUCUCUCUAUCUCUGUAUGUCAGGAGGUGGGCUGUGAUAAUGCAGUAAUCACUUGACCCUGCACCCACACACCCAUCUCCCCAAUCUAAAACUUGUCAUGCCAAAAAACGGGUCUGGAGGUGCAUGUGAUAGUGUCUGUACCUCUGAGCCAAGUAGCCUGGGUUCAAGUCCCACCUGCUCCAUAGAUUCCGUUGAUCCUUGGCAGAACUGGAGGUAGGAAGUACAAGGCAGCAGAUGGCAGAAUGGGAGACCUGGGAGAGCAGGAGCACUCGAAGUACAGUUCAACGAGAACAGAAGAGAAUGUCUUGAGCACAAAGAACAGAUAUUUUGUUAUGAUUUAGGAAUGAUUAUAUUCAUACAUUUGGAUAGACAUCACUUGCUAUUACCACACUACAGUCUAUCGACCAAUAAUGACAGCCACAUAUGGUGUGACCUAAGAAAUGCACUUAAUGAAACUCCAGCAUUUGAGUGCUAAGUUGUGAUUAUUUCAAACUUCUGGAAACCACUAGAAAUAAUAACAGGGAAAACAGAAGUGUAAGGGAAGGGCAGAACACUGAGAAAACAGGACCAAUGGUAAAGGAGAAACAGAUCGUUGACUACCAAUCCCGCUUUGGCUUGGCCACUACACCUUGAACAGUCACUCAUUUAUAAGGUCAGUCAAAUGUCAUUUCUUGCAAAUGGGUCUGAAUGGGAUAAUACAUGAUCGCAUACAAUAUGCACUACCCACUGUGAUAGUGUCAUGAGGACACAACUGAAAAGAGAAAGAAAGUGGGAUCUCUUGGAAGGCAGACUGAGUAUCGGUCCUCCCACUGUCUUUGCAGUAACAUGUAGCCUAUUAUAGUUGUGGAAAACCAAUAACCCACAUCUCAUUUACUCGACUCUUCUUGUUAGACCAGAAAACAGCCAACCCCACACACCAGAUCAUGUUAGCCCCCAAAGAACAUUCACAUUGAGAAGAUAUGGAUGGCAGCUCACAUAAUAUCAUGGAUCCAGUAGAAGGUGCCUGUUUGAACUUUUGGUUAUUUAAUACUGGGUUUUAUUAAAAUAAAUGAUAAUGGAUUCUGCUCAUGGUAACUGGAAAGGUUUGUGUUUAUAAAGCAUCUUUCAUAACCCAAAGACCUCCCAAAAUAGUUUACAGGCAGUAAAGUAUGUUUUGAAGAACAGUAAUUGGCUGCCUCAUUUCCUAUUUCACAACAAUUUAUACACAGCAAACCCUCUCAAACUGCAAUGUGUGAUGUUGUUUGAGGGAUAACUAUCAUUUGGAAUAAUAUCCCUGUUCUUCUUAAAAAUACUGCUCUGGGAUAUUUAUGUCCAACUGAGCUGGCAGACAGGGCCUUUGUUAAACUUCUCACUAAAAAGAUUACACUUACAACAAUCAAU